AACCUAGCACACCUGCGGUGUGUACCUGCGGAAGGAUCAUUAUAGAAUUGUUCGAAUCCAUACGGACACAUUCUUAAAAUCCGUAUCCACACCGGCAGGGCUUUCGGGCCUUUGCCGUAGGGUUCCUCUUUUCUCUUUCUCUGUAAGGGAGAGAGAGGGGGGUUCCUGUCUGACCUUUGCCUAUAAUUUUAAUCUUGUCCGAACUUUUUAUUUUAUUAUAAAAUAAAAACAACUUUUAAC
Molecule: unclassified non-coding RNA, 240 nt
Filed under: soil metagenome
Description: partial contains 5.8S ribosomal RNA, internal transcribed spacer 2, and large subunit ribosomal RNA
Source: RNAcentral